GGGCACACCUCGGCGCGCCGCAUCAGGGCUCAGUGGCCCCACUCUGUGUGUGAAGGGGACAAGCAGGCCCCUUCCCCCCUAUGCCUGCCAAUGCCGGUCCACCUCCGGUGGCGGCAGGGUCAAGCGCCCGCGACGCAGCGAAGUGAGAGCGAUGUAUUGCUGCUGGUGUAUGGGCGGUCAGGUCCUGGAUGGCGCUGCUUUGCCCGACGCGAUGGGGGCCUGUGUGAGCGGCCGGGGUCACGUGGCGUUCAGCUCACGUUGUAUGGUGGCAUGGACAUGCUGAGCCGCAAGCAAACAUUUUUCUGUACUCACACAUCUUUUUUUUCGUGCCGUUUUCGCGCACUCGUCGUAAAGAGUCGUCGUGGCACCGCUCGGCGAUUUCUUGAGCGCGAAGCGUGCGUGCGCUGCGUUGCUUCUCGUUCUCUCACAUCACCGGUGGGGGCGCUGGUACCACAAAGAGGACAGCGGCCUUGUCGAAGAAGCGUUGGCACGGUGUAUGCGUACCUGCGCAUUCUCCUCUUCUCGAAGGGCAUUGCGGCAGUGGUGGGCGCACGGGGCGUACAUGCGUGUACGUGUGUGCUUGUGUCAGCGAGCAUGCAAGGGCGGCUGGGAGUACGUGAGGUAGCUUGUGGCUGGACGGAGGGGAGGGAGAACGGCGAGAAGGGAGUCUUCUCACCCUUGUUUUCAGCGUUGGUGCCUCCCUCCCCCCCCCCCAUCCACGUCGCCUUCGUAUGUCGUUGUUGUUGGUGUCCCUCGCCCGCCGUGCGGGUCUUCAUGAUUUUCCCUUCUUUUAUUCCCUCCCUUCGCUGUGCUCUGAGGUAACUUAGACUGCGUCGUCUGCUCGUGUGCGUGUUGGGUCGGGCAGCGACGACGCGAUAUCCGCGUCCGUCCUCUUGCCCUCUGAAAUGUGCCGCAGCGAGCCAAUGAAAGAUGGAAAGUGCACCCCUUCCCUUCAUCCGACAAACGGCCCCCACCCCCACCCUCCAACCGCAUCCAUACAGUGAUGCUCGCGCGGCUACUAGCACAGCAUUACGUACGUGUUCAUGUCUGGAAGCUCACCAGUUGCUUGGUGAGCACUUUCGAGCAUGUACGCGCAUCUCUGCACCUCAUGAAUACGCAGCCUCCUCAACCCCUUCCCUUUCGCCGACUGCCUCAUGCGCAUGCAUGCGCACCCCCCCACCCCGCCCGACCAACAG
This 1196-nucleotide unclassified non-coding RNA is filed under the name Leishmania donovani. RNAcentral describes it as "gene:unknown". The record is from RNAcentral. Lineage: Eukaryota; Euglenozoa; Kinetoplastea; Trypanosomatida; Trypanosomatidae.